CCUACGGGAGGCAGCAGUAGGGAAUAUUGCUCAAUGGGGGCAACUCUGAAGCAGCAACGCCGCGUGGAGGAUGACGGUUUUCGGGUUUUAAACUCCUUUUGUUAGUGAAGAUAAUUACGUUAUCUAACGCAUAAGCACCGGCUAACUCCGUGCCAGCAGCCGCGGUUAUACGGAGGGUGCAAGCGUUACACGGAAUCACUGGGCGUAAAGAGCGCGUAGGCGGGAUAACAAGUCAGAUGUGAAAUCCUAUGGCUUAACCAUAGAACUGCAUUUGCAACUGUUAGUCUAGAGUGUGAGAGAGGUAGGUGGAAUUCGUGGUGUAGGGGUAAAAUCCGUAGAGAUCAAGAGGAACACUCAUUGCGAAGGCAGCCUGCUAGAGCAUAACUGACGCUGAGGCGCGAAGGCGUGGGGAGCAAACAGGAUUAGAUACCCCUGUAGUC
This 440-nucleotide ribosomal RNA is filed under the name uncultured bacterium. Its description in RNAcentral is "partial 16S ribosomal RNA". It matches the Rfam family "Bacterial small subunit ribosomal RNA", at positions 338 to 795 of the family's 1533-position model. The record is from RNAcentral.